AUGGCAUCUACUGAAAGAUCACCCAUGCCCUUGCUUCCAGAGUCAUCUUUCAGCUUCUACUCCACAAUAAGAGCUGAAUGGUGGAAGAAUCAGAUGUGCAGCAAGAAAUUCAAAAGGAGAGAGAUGAGUCAGGAGUCCAAGUAAUAUUCCUAUGUUAACCACGAAGGACAGAGAAAGUAAUGGAAUACCCCACUCUUAUUUACACCAGAAAGAAACCUUCAUGAGACAUUGCCUUAUGAAGGACUAUACCAAUUCUAACCAUUAGAUAAAGAAUUCAACACCAUUAGACUUCACUUCUCUCUGACAAAGAACAUUCCAGCUUUAAAUGAGAGAUCUUCCUAUCUGAAAUUAAUACACUUAAUUUUGUGACACUGACACUCUUAUCAAUCUGGACUAAUUAUUUUCUUUUGAC
RNAcentral lists this long non-coding RNA (412 nucleotides) under Monodelphis domestica (gray short-tailed opossum). RNAcentral describes it as "lncRNA (ENSMODG00000044159.1)". The record is from RNAcentral. Lineage: Eukaryota; Metazoa; Chordata; Mammalia; Didelphimorphia; Didelphidae.